This 460-nucleotide ribosomal RNA is filed under the name uncultured bacterium. RNAcentral describes it as "partial 16S ribosomal RNA". It matches the Rfam family "Bacterial small subunit ribosomal RNA", at positions 338 to 795 of the family's 1533-position model. The record is from RNAcentral.
CCUACGGGGGGCAGCAGUGAGGAAUAUUGGUCAAUGGACGAGAGUCUGAACCAGCCAAGUAGCGUGAAGGAUGACUGCCCUAUGGGUUGUAAACUUCUUUUAUAUGGGAAUAAAAUGUUCCACGUGUGGGAUUUUGUAUGUACCAUAUGAAUAAGGAUCGGCUAACUCCGUGCCAGCAGCCGCGGUAAUACGGAGGAUCCGAGCGUUAUCCGGAUUUCUUGGGUUUAAAGGGAGCGUAGGUGGAUUGUUAAGUCAGUUGUGAAAGGUUGCGGCUCAACCGUAGAAUUGCAGUGGAAACUGGCAGUCUUGAGUACAGUAGAGGUGGGCGGAAUUCGUGGUGUAGCGGUGAAAUGCUUAGAUAUGACGAAGAACUCCGAUUGCGAAGGCAGCUCACUGGACUGCAACUGACGCUGAGGCUCGAAAGUGUGGGUAUCAAACAGGAUUAGAUACCCCAGUAGUC